CAAAUGUCAUCUCAAAAAUGGUAAAUAGUAACAUCACUACUUUAAUUUCCAUCCAUUCAGGAAGAUCAAUAAACCCUGAGAACUCGUCAACUUCAGACAGGUACAGAAAAGACAAACAGGGGCAGCCAGCCUUCACCGUGAGCUUUGGCAAGCUGUGGAAACUGCAUCUCUUGACAAAUGAGUGGGAGAUGGAGCCAGGUGUUUGGCAGCAGCAGAGUGUUCAGGUGUAACUGUGCCGGUGACGGGACAUGACGAGCAGCCGCAGAUGAAGGAUGAGGCGUGGAGGAUUUUGGGAAGAGGGGCACCCCUCGACCUGCUCCCUCAAGAACACCCCCACUGAUCGA
Long non-coding RNA from Cottoperca gobio, 344 nucleotides. RefSeq lists it as uncharacterized. The record is from RefSeq and is a predicted model, not a curated record. The transcript is spliced from 3 exons. Lineage: Eukaryota; Metazoa; Chordata; Actinopteri; Perciformes; Bovichtidae.